CAGCGCGGCGCUCCCGCCGCAAGGACGCGCCGGCCCGGGCGGGCUGGGGGAGGGCUCCGGGCCCACCGGGGGCUGCCGGGCUCCGGCACGGCGGGGCCUGAGCUCUGCGUGCGGCUGGAGCCGCCCAGGCUGUCGUGGCGUGACGGGGGGUUCUCGCCAACAAAAAUAGGUUUUAACGGUGUGAUGGAGGCGGGUGAAUGCACAAGGAGGCUGCCUUUCUAGAAGUAAAGAAUUCAGGAUCUCCUGCUAUGCACUCUGCACGCACUAUGGUGUGGGUUGUUAUUUUAUUUUGCCGAGGUGAAAUGUCAUGAUGGCCUUUUCAGGCUGGUAAAUAUUACUAUUGCAAUUUCUUAAAGAAAAACACAAGGAGAAGUUCAGUUGCGGCUUUUCCAGUCUUCUUGCUGUUUCAGUUGCACUUCCACCGUGUUUUCCUCCUACUCUGUGUUUUCAAAUGUUGAAUAACUCUAGUCAGUUUCCAUGUGCUGUUCUAGUGUAUUUAAGUAUCUUAAAAACAAGAGAACACUCAGACAAUUGUCUGCUGAAUCAAAUCAUAUUGUCUGCUGAGUCAAAUAUAGCUCCUGUUACUGAGGAAUGGAUUUGACCUAGUGAAAGGAAGACAGAUCAGUUGGUAAUUUGUGAGGGUAUUUUUUUAACUCAUAGCAUAAUAAUCCAUGUACCAAAAUAACACAUUGUAGAGCAGUUGCUCUUCACCCAUUUUAAGAAUAUGUACCACACUUCUGAACUGCCUUUCUGUCAUGUAGACUAAAACAUACAUGUUGUCAUAACUGUUGCAUUUGUUUGUUUUUUUUAUGCUAAUAAAAGACUUGGUGUUAAUGUUACAUUCACAGAAGUUUACAUCAUGAAGGACUAUGUACAUCAUGCAGUGGUAAUUGUUCUGUUUAGCAGCUAAAACAAAUAGUAUAUUCUGCCUGUUUUAACCAUGUUUUUCUUUUCCAGAAUUGCAGGAAAAGUGAACUUUAUGGAAUAAAAAUACUUACGUCUGUCCAAGGAAGCAGAAUUGGGUCUCUUUGAAGGUGCCAAGUUGUACAUAAUAUGACAUUGAUAUUGGUAUAUAAAGCAGUCCUCACCAUGCAGAUUAUAGAAAUAAUAGUAGAAUUAGAAGUAAUUAGGAUUUUAUAGAAAUAAUAGAGAAUAACUACAGAGAAUCAGCAGUUGUAAGGUUGAUGGUUAUUCUCUGGCUUGGAAGUAGUGGUAUCUCUAAUUAUUGUCUGUUCCAGGGAGCACUUUUAGGAAAUGUAGUCAGAGUAAUAAACACACUGUGUUUUCUCAGAUUUGAAGUUUUAGGAUUAUCCUGGGUGGUAUUUUGUUCCUGUCAUUGUGAAUGCUCCAGAGAGUUUGGUCUCAGUGCUUAGCAGGAAUGAUAGAAAGCAAGCAGGCUUUCAUCUAAAUGCCGAAGAGUUUUUUAAUUAGUCAUUCAUGUCAACCGUUUUUUCCUCAAUUGAUAUUUUCAGGAAAGCACAAAUUUGCUUAAACCUUGAAAUUUAUUUUCUUCAUGUAUUACAUGAAGGGAACCUAAGGGUGUUUUCUUAACCAAUAACUGAGCAAAUUUACAGUUCUUUUAAAUCUAUUUUGUUUUAAUGUUUUCUGGGUUUUGGGGUUUUUUUUAACUGUUGAUCAGUGAGUGUUUUGGCUGUCAUCUGUUUAUUCUUAUAAAAAUCGCAGCAUGACAAGACAACUCCCUUCUUAAAGAAGAGAACAAUUUUUUUUUGUGCUAAACAAAUGCUGAAAUGCUGUGCCUUUUCUCUUUAGUGUCCUACAUAUUUAGAAUUAAAAUGUGCUUUGGCACUUGGCACUUGCUGAACAUUUGCAGUUUUGAAGAUGUGUUUAUGAGGAAAGUGCACAAUGAUACUAGCUCUAAGUUUAUUAGUUGAGGCAUUCAUCUGUAACCAGAGAAGCUGUAGUCCAGUUAUGGAUGUCAGAUGUUUACAUAUACUGGAUGUUGAAAUCAUGUGCUGUAUUUAAAAAAAUUGCUUCAGUUUUUUUAUUAAGUCAUGUAUGUGUGUGAGAAUUUCACUGGCAGAGCAUAUGGUUUUUAUAAUAGUAUAGUACCUACCAUAUCAUUUAUUUUGAGUACAAAUUGCAUCCAUUCCAAUGCAGUGAAUUGGACUGAAAGAUAAAGUGAGGGUAGUUGUUUCUGUAGGCUAGAAGAGUCAGAUUCACGGGCCAGUGUUCUGUGGCUUUUGGUAGGAAGCUUUUAGGCAAGGCUUGGCCUGUGCAAGAUUCACUGGGUUGUUGCUUGUGCCUGGAGGGAACAAGUUCCCCUCCCUGGGAGGAUGAAGUGGGAGGUGAGACUCCCUUGUGCUCCUGAAGGAUCAGAUACUUGCCUCUUCUGUCCCAAGGGGAUGUUGCUGGUAUGCACUCAGGACCUGUCACUUAAAGCCAUUGACCAUUUCUGGCUCAGGUCACAGGAGCUGUAGAUCACAGGAGCUGUGUGGGGUUUCUUCAGGGUUGGCUCUUGCUUACCUGCUGUGAAAGCAGAAGUCCAGGAGGAUUUGUGAUGUGCUGUGGUAUCUGUAGAAACAGGUUGGUUAUGCUGAGCUUUAGAAUCUGGGCAUAGGUUUAGAAAAAUAACUAAAUUCAUAUAAGUACUGUUUUUCCCCCAGCUGCACCUGUGUCUGUCUGUGUACCUUGUUUUUGAUGUCGAUUCUUCAAAACUGGACAUAAACACACCUCAACUUGGAAACUAAAAGUAUUUUGUGCCUACAGUUAAAACUAAAU
Molecule: RNA transcript, 2739 nt
Organism: Ficedula albicollis (Collared flycatcher)
Lineage: Eukaryota; Metazoa; Chordata; Aves; Passeriformes; Muscicapidae
Gene: EPM2A
Gene name: epilepsy, progressive myoclonus type 2A, Lafora disease (laforin)
Exons: 2
Source: RefSeq, a predicted model, not a curated record